UAUGUCCCCGAUUCGGAUGAUGAUGCACUGGCUUUGGCAGAUGAAUUAGAUAAUUCAGUGAUAAAGACAGCAGAUGUAGUUUUAGAAGAAAUCGCAGACUGUGGUGAUACUUAUAUCAAUAACAAGAAUGAAAAUGGUAGAAAUAUACUUACGCGAAAGAGAAAGAUUGAAAGUCAUAAAUGGGUGCAGAAGAAAAGGAAGUAUCAUCGCAAUAAAGGGAACCCGUAUGUCACUAAGAGUUGCAAAAGAGUUGAAGAGCGUGUUCCGAAACCCAUUGACUGUAAGUGCCGCCAUAAUUGCACAGAAAACUUCUCAGAAGAAGAGCGCACAGAGAUCAAUGCAGAAUAUUGGAAUUUAGUGGACUAUUCGAGGCCGCGACUGUUCCUGGCCAUUUGCGUGAAAAUUGAGAAGUGCAAAAGGACAUUGACACUUGGAUCACGGCGGGCGAACACAUUUAAUUAUACUCUCAAAGCCAAACAGCUAUGCAAGAAGUUUUUUUUAAAUACCUGCGUUAGCCAAGAAGAUGUGCCAAAAUGAAUUUACUGAUAAGAGGGGUCAACAUGGCCACCAGAGAAAAUUAGACGAAGAGACAGUUGCGCUUAUCAAACAGCACAUCGAGUCAUUUCCAGCCGUCGAAAGCCAUUACACUCGAGCAAAAAGUCAACGACUUUAUCUUGCCUCCGACUUAANNAUAUCAAAAAUGUACGAUUUAUUCAAAGAACUCCACCCGGACGCUAUCAUUAAAGAAAACGUUUAUCGCCGGAUAUUUUGCAUGAAUUAUAAUUAUUCUUUCCACUGUCCGAAAAAGGACGCCUGCUUAACAUGCGAGAGGUACAAAACGCUGAGGACAAAGGCUCAUUUCAGAAAUCCUAUGAUGAACACAUCUUAAAUAAGACAAAGGCAGGAACUAACAAGCAAACUGACAAGGAAUCAGCUAAAAGUAACAAUAAUUUAAAAGUGUUUACUUUUUGCCCUCCAGUCAGUGUUAACGACUCUUUGUAGCAACGUAAGCACGAUGUAUUACAGUCGAAAGUUCGCCAGGUAUAAUAACACAUUUUACGACAUUGCCAGUGGAGAAGGUUNCUGUUUUCUAUGGGAUGAAAAUCAGGGUCAACGAGGAUCGGACGAAAUUGGGACCACAAUAUGGAAAAUGAUGAACUCGUUAGACGAAUCGGUAACCGAUGUUAUUCUCUACUCGGACUGCUGCGGGGGACAAAACAGAAACAGGUUCAUUGCUACACUAUUGACUUAUAUCAACAAUACCUUGAAGCUUAAUUCGAUAACAAUUAAGUACCUCCAAAGUGGACACACACAAAUGGAGGCAGAUUCGAUGCACUCUGCAAUAGAACGUGCGAAGAGAAGUAUAUGCGUUUAUUCGCCGGAAGAAUGGCCACCUAUAAUGAGACUGGCAAGACGGAAAAACCCAUAUGCUGUAGAGAGGCUUCAAUACAGUGAUAUUAUUGAUCUCAAAGACAUGUUUUCGAGUUUAGGCCAUAGCCUUAAGAAAAAUAUAAAAAAUGACUCGGUAAAUUGGCUUAAUGUUAAAUUACUCCAAGUGAACAAAAUUCAACGAAAACAGUUAUUAUACAAGGAGGAAUGGGAUGGAGACUUGAAAGUAAUCGAUAUUGGAGGAACGCG
RNAcentral lists this long non-coding RNA (1638 nucleotides) under Bactrocera latifrons. RNAcentral's name for it is "uncharacterized LOC108972287". Lineage: Eukaryota; Metazoa; Arthropoda; Insecta; Diptera; Tephritidae. The record is from RNAcentral.